UUUCCGUAGGUGAACCUGCGGAAGGAUCAUUAUUGAAUAUGCUUGAUAGGUUGUAGCUGGCUCUUCGGAGUAUGUGCACGCUUAUCUUGACUUAAUUCAUCCACCUGUGCACCUUUUGUAGUCUUGGGGGUUGAGAUCGGUCGACUAUCGGAUGGCCAAGGUCAUUCCGGAUGUGAGGAAUGCUGAGUGCGAAAGCAUACAGCUCUUCUCAAAUGACUUGUCUUCCUCGAGUACUAUGUAUUCAUAUACCACAUAGUAUGUUGUAGAAUGUGAUCAAUGGGUCUAUGUACCUAUAAUAAUUAUAUACAACUUUCAGCAACGGAUCUCUUGGCUCUC
This 336-nucleotide unclassified non-coding RNA is filed under the name plant metagenome. RNAcentral's name for it is "partial contains small subunit ribosomal RNA, internal transcribed spacer 1, and 5.8S ribosomal RNA". The record is from RNAcentral.